AACGAACGCUGGCGGCAUGCCUAACACAUGCAAGUCGAACGAGACCUUCGGGUCUAGUGGCGCACGGGUGCGUAACGCGUGGGAACCUGCCCUUAGGUUCGGAAUAACUCCCCGAAAGGGGUGCUAAUACCGGAUAAUGUCUUCGGACCAAAGAUUUAUCGCCUUUGGAUGGGCCCGCGUUGGAUUAGCUAGUUGGUAGGGUAAAAGCCUACCAAGGCGACGAUCCAUAGCUGGUCUGAGAGGAUGAUCAGCCACACUGGGAAUGAGACACGGCCCAGACUGCUGCGGGAGGCGGCAGUGGGGAAUAUUGGACAAGGGGCGAAGGCGUGAUCAAGCAAUGCCGCGUGAGUGGUGAAGGCCUUAGGGUUGUGAAGCUCUUUUACCCGGGAUGAUAAUGACAGGACCGGGAGAAUAAGCUCCGGCUAACUCCGUG
RNAcentral lists this ribosomal RNA (433 nucleotides) under uncultured bacterium. RNAcentral's name for it is "partial 16S ribosomal RNA". It matches the Rfam family "Bacterial small subunit ribosomal RNA", at positions 29 to 507 of the family's 1533-position model. The record is from RNAcentral.